CGAAGACCUUGACUGGGCUGCACGAUCAGCCAUACCAGAAGACGCCGACACCAACUGCGCGGAUCACGGACUCGGUCAUCGCUCUCAGAUUUCAAGACGACAUCCCCCGAAACCACACUAAGCGAUGCGGCACGCUGAGACAAACGCCCCUCGGCGGCAGCCGUUCCACAUCACAGGAGCACGGAUACCAAGCUCACAAGACAGCAAGAGACCACCCUCGCCCAGUUUUCACAACGGGCACCUGCUCGUAAUUAGGAUUCCUGCAACGACCGGUGACUGGUAGUGGCCGCAUGGGGUGCAGCGCAUGUGGUGCCUGCUAGCGGAGAAGAAGUGUGGUGCCCCCGCUCCCCCCCUCCACACCACCAGAGUCUUCGCCCCCCCCCUGCGCGCUUGCUCCACGAGGGCGUCUGACCCGGCGAUGCGCCUGAUAUCGUAUGCGGGGCUCGCCUAUCGAUGGACGCUCACAGCAGCCCGUGUUUCACGCCAUGGACUUGCACGCGGUGAUGUGGGCACACAUGUCUCGCUUGCGCUGCACGGGCUUCCACUGCCGGGUGUCUGCCGCUGUCCUCUGUGCCCCUCAGCACGACGAGCCAUGAGCGCUGUGUGCGCAGACGCAUGUAUGUGUGCGGAUACCGGGGAAGGCGAAGCGCCGCUGCCGCCACAGACUCAGGGCAGCGCCCCGCCUGUCGCGGCAGAUGCGGGCAAGGUAUCCAGGCACGCCCCCGGGCAACAACGCCGCCAUGAGGCAGGCACCGUGAUGCGGAAGUGCGAGCAGUGUGCGCCGGCGCUGUCAAGCACCGCUGGCAUGGUGUGUCUGAUGCGAGCAAAGCAUCCAGGGGCCGGCCGAGCACGGGCGAUGGGGGGAGGGGAAGAAGGCGCAUGCAGGGCCAUGCCGAUGCCCCCUCUCCCGCAGUGCAUGUGUGCGGAGCAUGCGGCGUCUCCUGCAUCCGACCGAGUGGGCUGAUGCGGCGCGGACGCCGGGAGGCAUGACGAGGGCACCCGGGACGGCACCACCGAGCCAUCGGGUGUGCACUGCGGAGAGCCGCCACGCCACAUUACGGGAUGCCGCGGUUGGAGCGGACUGGGGGGCGGGCGGGCGAAGCACGGCAUGCAGGCAGUGUGUGCCGGGCCUCAGAAGGACCCUGACCCCUGAGGCUUUCGAGGCUCCUCCUUGCGUUCGUGCGGCACGCACCUGGACCGCCCACCCACCACGUGCACGACAGGCGCCGAUCGCGCAGCGGGCACAGGAAGAGUAGGCGAUGAAGGGCAGGGCGAGCGUGCUGGACGCAUGGCGCGAUUCGACGAGCGGGAGAGCCACGUCCCAGGCGACGAGCAUUUAGCCCGAGUGCGACAGAGUUAGGUGAGCGGUGGCUGCAUGCCGAUGCUUGUCGACAUGUUCGUGUUGGGCCGACACACGCCGACAAGGAGGAAGCGUUUCUCCACACCCUCCGCAUCUUGAUUUGUAUUCUGUGUUUUAAUGUGUCGUUGCUGCCUGCAUGCGCGCUUGUGUCUGCCUCACUUUCUUGUUAUCUGUUAUUUUCUGGAAAUCAAUUUUUUUUCUCAUCUCGACGCGUGUCGGCGGUGCUCUUUUGGAGAACUGGUUUCUUUUCUACUUUUUUUUCUAGCCCAUCGCAUUUGUGUGUGUGUGUGCUCGGAUCCUCGGUCUUUUAUGUGCAAUGUCGCACGCUGUCUCUCGCUCGCUAGCGAGAUUUCGGUGUUUUUUUUUUUGCUACCCUUUUUUGCAGUAUCUUAUGUUACUGGUCUUAUACAAACGCCGCAGAACAUAAAAGGGAGCAUGGGAAGGGGUCUGAGGGAGCACAAGGGCUUACAUGAGCACCCGUCACUCUUGGACAAUGUGCAUGCAUGCGUGCACAGCUGUUCCGCGCUGCGAUUCCAUCUCUUCUCUCGCUCCCUUGACGCUGCAAUUGUGUGUGUACGUACUUCCGUUGCUUCUCACUUCUUUUGCUGUCCUGUUCGUUGCCGAUGUGUUGUGCUGGCAUCGCCUCUUUGCCUUCCCUGCUUUCUCUCGCUCUCAGCAUUCCUGAGUGUUCUUGGCCUGCUGUAGGGCAUAUGUUGGCAAACACAAGUUGAUUGAACUGUGUAUGGUCCAGGUGCAUGCAGAUGUGUGUGGCGGUGCCCUCGUGCGUGUCUGUACGCCGAAGAUUUUCAUCUGGACGUACGCCCAAAGUCCAUGUGCUCAGCGUGUGAUUGUGUCUGUUUCUCUGCCGCGCAGGUUUGUUUUUCAUCGUCCGCUUCUUUAGAGGUGCACGCGAAUUGUUCGCGCUUUUUCGUUUCGUCGCCUUCGCUUCCUUCACCGUCUCGACAUUGUGCUCUCGAUCUCCCUCUGCCCGCCCUCGGUCUGUCAGGCGUGGAGAACAGCACGGUCCAAGUUGCUGGUGUGUGGGGACCUUGGAGAACCCGAAAGAUGCACAGACACGCACGGGCGCGCGCACGCCGUCAUCGAUGACCUCCUUGUGGCACCCAAACACUUGCUUGCGUAUCGUGUAUGCGCUGGUGCACGCGCAUCACCUUGCAGCGAAAGAUAAAAAAGAAAAUUCAUUGUGCGCGAAUUGAGGGCGGGGGAAGACUUUGACGAUGUAGGUGAG
RNAcentral lists this unclassified non-coding RNA (2606 nucleotides) under Leishmania donovani. RNAcentral describes it as "gene:unknown". Lineage: Eukaryota; Euglenozoa; Kinetoplastea; Trypanosomatida; Trypanosomatidae. The record is from RNAcentral.